This is a long non-coding RNA of Oncorhynchus gorbuscha (pink salmon), 672 nucleotides long. RefSeq lists it as uncharacterized. The record is from RefSeq and is a predicted model, not a curated record. The transcript has 3 exons. NCBI's taxonomy places the organism in Eukaryota, Metazoa, Chordata, Actinopteri, Salmoniformes, Salmonidae.
CGAGGACCUCUUUUUCCUGCAACUUUUUUUUGUAUGAACUUCGAAGUUGAACAAUCGCAAAAGGAAGCAGACACUUGGAGUAAGCGGGAACAUCGCAUAACAAAAGAUAAUAAUACUAUUUUGUUGACGUUUUCGUGGUGUAAAUCUGAAAAGUCGACUCGCACUUUAAAAAAUAUUUUUCGUGGCCAAACAUUGUGAUAGCAGUUUUCCCUGGAAUCUGUGUCUUACAACCGCGGAGGUGGGGAGAAGAAAGAUCAUCCUGAGAGACUGACACACACAGGGCAGGAGAAUGUACCAGACACUGACGCCUCUUAGUUCACAUUGCCCACCAGAGACCGAAGCAGCAUGCAGACCUGAGGAGAACCAACACUAGCUACAACGUUCUCUCCCUCCUCCAGUCCUCCCAGCCACCAAUGUUCUUUGAGGCUCUCUAUCCUCUCCUCUCUAUCUAUCCUCUCCUCUCUCUCUAUCCUCUCUCUCUUAUCCUCUCCUCUCUAUCCUCUCCUCUCUAUCUAUCCUCUCCUCUCCUCUUUCUCUAUCCUCUCCUCUCCCUGGGCAUAAUGAUCCAUCUCUACUGCUGAGCUCCACCUUACCCCCUAACCUCACCCCACCUUACCCUCUAACCUUACCCCACCUCUACCCUCUAACCUUACCCCACCUUACCCUCUAACC